AUCUGACCCUUUGGGGUCCGAGUUGUAAUUUGCAGAGGGUGUUUCGGGCACGGUGCCGGUUUAAGUCCUUUGGAACAGGGUGUCAUAGAGGGUGAGAACCCCGUAUGUGACCGGUCGCCAAACCCAUGUGAAACCCCUUCGACGAGUCGAGUUGUUUGGGAAUGCAGCUCAAAAUGGGUGGUAAAUUUCAUCUAAAGCUAAAUAUUGGCCAGAGACCGAUAGCGCACAAGUAGAGUGAUCGAAAGAUGAAAAGCACUUUGGAAAGAGAGUCAAACAGCACGUGAAAUUGUUGAAAGGGAAGCGCUUGCGACCAGACUUGCUCGCGGGUGAUCAGCGGUGCUUUUCGCGCCGUGCACUCAUCCGCGAUCAGGCCAGCAUCGGUUCAGGCGGCCGGACAAAGACUCGGAGAAUGUAGCUCCCUCCGGGGAGUGUUAUAUCUCCUUGUGCAAUACGACCAGCCGGGACCGAGGACCGCGCUUCGGCUAGGAUGCAGGCGUAAUGGUCGUAAGCGACCCGUCUUGAAACACGGACCAAGGAGUCUAACAUCUGUGCGAGUGUUUGGGCGUUAAACCCAUGCGCGCAAUGAAAGUGAACGUGAGGUGGGAACCCUUUCGGGGGCGCACCAUCGACCGAUCCAGAUGUCUUCGGAUGGAUUUGAGUAAGAGCACAGCUGUUGGGACCCGAAAGAUGGUGAACUAUGCCUGAAUAGGGUGAAGCCAGAGGAAACUCUGGUGGAGGCUCGCAGCGGUUCUGACGUGCAAAUCGAUCGUCAAAUUUGGGUAUAGGGGCGAAAGACUAAUCGA
RNAcentral lists this ribosomal RNA (803 nucleotides) under Psora decipiens. Its description in RNAcentral is "LSU rRNA". It matches the Rfam family "Eukaryotic large subunit ribosomal RNA", at positions 120 to 938 of the family's 3401-position model. The record is from RNAcentral. Lineage: Eukaryota; Fungi; Ascomycota; Lecanoromycetes; Lecanorales; Psoraceae.